CGCAGAAUAUUGUCAAAUGAAAUUGAGUGUUCCUAUUGGCGCAUUAUAUUGUGACGUCAUAUCAAGCGCUCCUAUUGGUUCAGAAUAUUGGAAAGUCGUAGUUUAAACCGGGCCGAGAGGUGACAUACUCCUGAAAGUCGUGGAGCGAAAAUUCGUCUCGUCGAACGUUAUCCUGUUGUUAGUACCUUCAUUUCGACCUUAUCAACGAUUCUACACUUCUAUCUGGUUCAUUCACAUAGUACAUUAUUGGCUGGUCGCAUGACUGAAAUAGAAAAGGCGUUCACAUCACAAACGCCACAAGCGAUUAACGAUCGAUAAUUCGAACUAAAACAAGAUGGAUGUCAUAGAUGAUUAUUAAUAAAUCUAGUCGUUGAUUUCUCAUGCAAAUUUGGUAAUGAUUGAGGUAUUAUAACAAAACAAAGUUUUUCAUAAUUUCUACCUUUUCUUGUGCUUCGAGGAGGACGCAGUGAUGCUUCAAACCUAAGCAUGUUUAUCACUCCUUCCUCUUCCUCCUGCUUCCUGAAAAGGACCUAGUGGUGCUUCACAAGCCAAGAAUUUUUUUCUAUGAUGGGAUUGCAUGACUUGUCUUUGAUGACGGUCUUCACGACGACUUUCCUGGGCUACCAUAGCAUCGAUGACUAUGUUCCUCGCAUCUUAUCGUGAAUCAUAUGCACUUUUG
This is a long non-coding RNA of Bombus impatiens (common eastern bumble bee), 679 nucleotides long. RefSeq lists it as uncharacterized. NCBI's taxonomy places the organism in Eukaryota, Metazoa, Arthropoda, Insecta, Hymenoptera, Apidae. The record is from RefSeq and is a predicted model, not a curated record. The transcript has 5 exons.